UACGUAGGGGGCAAGCGUUAUCCGGAUUUACUGGGUGUAAAGGGAGCGUAGACGGCAGUGCAAGUCCGGAGUGAAAGCCCGCGGCCCAACCGCGGGACUGCAUUGGGAACUACCGGGCUGGAGUGCCGGAGAGGUAGGCGGAAUUCCUAGUGUAGCGGUGAAAUGCGUAGAUAUUAGGAGGAACACCAGUGGCGAAGGCGGCCUACUGGACGGUGACUGACGCUGAGGCUCGAAAGCGUGGGGAGCAAACAGG
This 253-nucleotide ribosomal RNA is filed under the name uncultured bacterium. RNAcentral describes it as "partial 16S ribosomal RNA". It matches the Rfam family "Bacterial small subunit ribosomal RNA", at positions 524 to 776 of the family's 1533-position model. The record is from RNAcentral.